Molecule: unclassified non-coding RNA, 3174 nt
Filed under: Hevea brasiliensis (rubber tree)
Lineage: Eukaryota; Viridiplantae; Streptophyta; Magnoliopsida; Malpighiales; Euphorbiaceae
Source: RNAcentral
GUCAAAGACAAAAAGAUUUAUUCGUCUUAUAUAUAACAUAAUAUAAAAUCUUUAUCCUCAAUUAAUGUGCGACAACUGACUUUGCAAAUAUAUCUACAAAUGUCCCAACAUUAAAACAGUUAAGCUCUAACCUAUUGUAUCAGGAAUUGACAAUCACAAAAAUUGAAGACUAAAGAGCUCCUAAAACUAGAGGAACUGCUGACUUUGUGAUGUGAAUAAUUCUGUUGCACAAUCCAUAGAGAUUUGCAAUUUUGAAUUCAUCUGUAUGAGUUGGAGGAAUCACAUUCCCUCCUCUUCCACGGUAAAUACAAUUCCUUUAAAUGUUGGAAUACAACCAGAACCUCCUCCAUGAAGGCCACCAAAAUGAAAAUGAAAUCAGUUUGAAAAUACCGUCAACAACUCAUAUUUUAUGAAAACCAAUAAUAAAAAAAUAAUGACCCAGUAAAGAACAUGCAAAACAGAACACUCACAUUCAUUUAACAAUCCACUAUAUCAACUCUUCAAUGUGUAAUCCUAUUCAUGCAUGCCCAUCUUUUUCCCUUUGUUUCCCUUGUUUCCAUUCUUAGCUGAGCCCUUUCCUGAUCCUUUACCCUUUUGACCCUUUGCGUUCUUACCCUUCUUUGAAGCACCUUUUCCUGGCUUACCCAUACCACGCGCCCUUGCAUCCUUUUUCAUCCUCCGAUCAACAAGUACUUUCCCCUUUCCAGCCUUCACUGCAACUCCUUUCUUUGCAACAACAUAUUCCUUCUUAGGCCUUUUAGGCGUUGCCUUCUUAUAUAGUUGUUCAAUCAUUUUCCUCUUGGACCGAUCAGAGAUAUCUGUCUGGUCUGAUAUGGUGUUUGCCUUCUUGCGAACCUUCUCAAGCUUCCUCAUUGCCACCCGUUUCUUUUUAGCCUUGGCCUCUGCCACCUUCUUAGCAGGUCGGGCAUUUAUUUCUUUGAAUUGUGCUCGUAUUGCAGCAAUCUCCUCUUUGGUAACAGGCUUCAUUGGCUGGCAGUGCCUCUUCUCUUCUUCCACAAACCAGCUGGGCAAGCCCUCAUCAUCAAACAUAUACUUGUUGUAGGCAUCAUCAAGCAUCUGUUCCCUUUGUUUUUUCCUCAGCAUCUUCUUAGCAUAAGCCAAUAUCUCAGCCUUUGUUUCAACAUCAUCAUUGUCAGAAUCAUCCGAAGAUGAAUCAUCACUAGAAUCUGUAGCUGGAGCAGGGACUAUCUCAAAAUCUUCUUCUGUCUUUGAAGUUUCAGGUUGAUUGUGUUUCAACCCUGCAGCAAUUUUUGCUGUCUUUUCCGGAACAGCAAGCUUUUCCUCCUGCCUAUCUACCUGCAUUUCAGCUUCACUAUCAUACUUUUCCAAGUCUCCAUCCUCUGCAGCCUCAGCAAAGACACCCUGCGCAAACCAUUUGCUUGUUAUCUCUUCUUUGGUUGGCACCUCCCCAUCAUUCAAUGAUACCACGAGAGGAUUGGCUUCCUGAUCACCUAGGUCUUCAUCCGAAUCUUGAUCGGAAUGAAUAACAACAUCGUCACCAUCACCCUCCAGAAGUUGUUUGGAAUAGGCCUGCCUUGCACGUUUGCGCUGCUUAGUACUUCCUUCCUUUUUGGUCACAAACCGUUCAUACACCUGAUCGAGAAACUCUUCCAUUUGUUCAUCAUAUCUUCUCUGUUCUUCAUCAGAAUCUAUGACACUGGAUGAAUGCUCCUGAGCUUCAUCAUUCUCAUCAUCAUUUUCACUAUCUCUUACCUCACCAUUCUCAUCAUCAUUUUCAGCAGAAUCAACAGCUACAAGAUCUUUUUUUCCCUUGAUGGAAGAAAGAGAAAACAAUUCAUGAUCAGUGUAGCCAUCUUCCAUUGCAUCUAUUUGCAUUCCUGUUGCCUUCCGUGCCUUGUCCUUAGUUCGUCUUUUUGCAUCUCGUUUCUUUGCUUGUUUCUUCUUCCGCUCCAUAGCACAAGUCAGCUCCUCCAUUUCAUUCAAUAAUUUAUCAUCUUCAUCCUCAUGUUUCUUUUCUUCGCCAUCAAUGGCGGUAGUAGAACUAGCCUUUUGAGUAGGAGACAAGGACUUCCUUACAUGCAUCCGCCACUUCAAUAGAUGUUUGAAGUCUUGCUUUCCCAAAACACGAAGAUCAUCACAAAGUGUUUUAACCUCUUCUGUUGUUAAAGCAUGAUCCCUUAUUGGCAAAGAAGUUGGGUCUUCAAACGAUAUAGAAGUAACUGAACCAAGGAUUUCAAGAGGUGUGUCAGACCAAACAAAAUCAGCAGCUGAAGACACUUUCCUCACAAUGCUUUCCCCAUCUUCAUACCCAUCACGGUGUCGCUUUUGCUUUGUUCCUCUGAGUACAUCUAUUACCUUUCGAACAGGUUCUAUGGUUCCCUGAAAUAGGUGUUUCACAUCAAGAAGUCGUGGAUCAAUCUUUGCAGGGGCCUUGUACUUCAAGCCCACAAGAAAUAUUUCCGCAGAUGUUGAGCGACUUGCAGAUGGUUUAUCCACCUCAACCUUUUCAAACAACUGAUGGAGACAGUACAAGACUGAAUUGUAGUCUUGAGACCUGAAAACUUUGGUAACAAAGUUGCCUUUUGGAGCCAAGAACUGUGUAGCCAAUUUCACAGAAUCAAUCACAAGUGCAUUCUGAGCCAUUGCUUCUUGCGCCCACGCACCACCAAUAUUAGGGGAACCGUCGUGCAAAACUAAAUCAAAAGCCUUCACUCCAUUCUCUCCCAUAAUUUUCUUAAUCCUAGCUUUACACUCAGACUUGGUUAUAUCCUGCUCGAUCGAAAUCGCCCCACGGAUAGGCGCAAUCCUAACCAAAUCGAUGCCAAGGACAAGGCUGCCAACGGGCACGCGCUCAACCGCCACCUGCAUCCAACCGCCAGGGGCAGCGCAGAGGUCGAGAACGGCGCGAGAGGAGUGGAGAAAGUGGAAUUUGGAGUCGAGUUGGAUGAGUUUCCAUGAAGCACGGGAACGGUAGCCGUGUUCUUUGGCGAGAUGGUAGUACUUAUCCAAGCGGUGCUUACCUUUCGCCUUACCCAUGGUAGGGAUCUUGGAUUUGAAAAUGAGAUUUGUUCAACCUCUAUCAAUCAAUUUUCAUAUGAAUCUAGAAGCUGAGGUUUAUCUAGGGUUUUCAGCGAGUGUCUCUCUCAAUAGACGAGCAGAGGAAGAGGAAAUAAAACCCAGAGGCAGAGUCGG